CCCUCUCAUUCCCCAAUCGUGCCCCUCUCAUCUGCUAAAAACGAGCUCCUAAACUCGUGCGGUGACCGCGAAUGCCGCCACCAUUGCCGCGAGCAUCAUCGCCCCAGCGCCCCGCGGUCGUGUCCAGCAACUCCGCCGUCGUUCGCUUCUUCACCUUCGUCCAUUUGAUCCAGCCGGACUCGACCAUGCCGUCGGGAUCGAGCUUCUUCUUCAACUUCGGCCGCCGUCAUCCACCGCGUCGAUCUGCUCGUCACCGACCGUCCCCGGCCUCGUCAAGCCCUCCCCGAGCUAUGAUGUGAGCCUCGGAUCCUCCUUGACCUCCCCUUGUUUCUUCCCGUACCCCAUAGGUUAGCUCCUGUCGUAGCCUCGCCGUCCCUCGCCGCUCGAGCUUUGGCCGAGUUCUCAGUCACCCCGGUCACCUGCGCCCGUCUGCGCCCUCCUGCUGCAGUCCCGCUCGUCGCCCGUGUUCCGCAUGCGCCCUUGUGCCGCGCGCGCCGCGAGCUGCUCGCUACAGCCGCGUGCCUUGUCGGUUCCUUGGCCGCGCUCCCCGGCCCGCCUCACUCGCGCCUGCGGCUGCUGGGGCCCCGACUAUGCUGGCCAUGUCCUCCAACGUGCCCCGCCCCUGCAAGCCCAUGCCUGGCCGCUUCCCCGCCAUGCGCCCGUGGCUGCCGCCGCUGCUCAGCUGUUGUUGGUGCGUUCUGCUACUAUCGCGCCUGUUGUUGUGUGCCGCUGGAGCUGUUGGCUUGCUAUUGUUGUUGCUGCUAUGCGCUAACGUUGCUCUCUGCUCUCCUGCAUCUUGCCACUGCGUUGCUGCUUGCAGUUGGCCAUGGCCAUGGCCGAGUGUGGCGUGUGCUGUGUGUGUGUGUGUGUGUGUCCAGAGCCUCACGGCCGGCCCAAAAUCNNNNNNNNNNNNNNNNNNNNNNNNNNNNNNNNNNNNNNNNNNNNNNNNNNNNNNNNNNNNNNNNNNNNNNNNNNNNNNNNNNNNNNNNNNNNNNNNNNNNNNNNNNNNNNNNNNNNNNNNNNNNNNNNNNNNNNNNNNNNNNNNNNNNNNNNNNNNNNNNNNNNNNNNNNNNNNNNNNNNNNNNNNNNNNNNNNNNNNNNNNNNNNNNNNNNNNNNNNNNNNNNNNNNNNNNNNNNNNNNNNNNNNNNNNNNNNNNNNNNNNNNNNNNNNNNNNNNNNNNNNNNNNNNNNNNNNNNNNNNNNNNNNNNNNNNNNNNNNNNNNNNNNNNNNNNNNNNNNNNNNNNNNNNGUUUAACUAAAUUAUUUUUUAACACAUGUUACACUUACAAGUGGGUCCACUGACCCUGUUGACUGGCCAACCAUUGACCUGGUCAAGAGUCAACCGAACCCCCCCGACCCACAUGUCUGCCCAUAUGCUACACUUCUGUGUACCAGAGCUAGGUACCCAUAGCAAUUUUCUUUUAUUUCGAAUUAAAUUAAAUUGCAAAAUAUCAAUAAAACUUUAGAAAUUCGUAUAAAAUAAUCUGUAACUCGGAUGAAAAAGUUUUAUACAUGAGAGUUGCCCAAAAAGGCUAGACGAACCCGAAUACGCAGUCCGUUCGUCUGACACACAUCCCUAGCACAGUGAACAUGUAAACUUCCCCCUCCGGUUCGUUUGUCCGAAAAAUGCAAAUUUCGGGGAAACAUUCCCGGAUGUUAUUCCCCUUCGCGGGUAUCGUGUAGCUUUGCGUUAGAGCACCCCUGGCGCUGCUUAUUACCUGUCAUGCAUCUGUUUGCUCUAUAUUUACUGUUUCUUCCCCCCUCUUCUCUCUGGUAGACCCCGAGACUGAUGCUGCCCCUAUUAUCAACUACGUCAACGAUGACCCUUAUUCCCUUUCAGCGGAGCUUCCAGGCAAGCCCCCCCUUUGAUCAUCCCGAUAUCGCCCAUUUAAUUCUCUCAUGCUUGCACUAGAUUUUGCUACUGUAAUUGAUUGCUCCUAUUCUGAUGCAUAGCCUGCUUUUGUAACCUGCUUAUUGUUACCUACCUGCUUAUCCUAAAUUGCUUAGUAUAGGUUGGUUAGUGAUCCAUCAGUGCCCACCACCUUGACCUUGUUGCCCCUGCUUCAUCAUCGACGACUCGAUCAACAUGAUCGAUGACCAGAGCCCGACACCUCACAUCACAUCACGCCCCUUUUGUUGCUUGACUCUGAAGAGCUACUAUCGAGUGUCGAGGGUGAUCCCUCAUAACACAUUCCUGAUGAUAAUUCUGUAGUGUAGCUAUUCUGUCGUGAUCAACAAGGGUGGUUCCUUGCUACGUCUUGAUCUUGCGGUGGUUUUCCUUGAAGAGGAAAGGGUGAUGCAGCAAUAGUAGCAUAAGUAUUUCCCUCGGUUUUUGAGAACCAAGGUAUCAAUCCAGUAGGAGGCUCCUCAAAAGUCCCACACACCUACACAAACAAACAAAGAACUCGCAACCAACGCAAUAAAGGGGUUGUCAAUCCCUUCAAGGCCACUUGCGAAAGUGAGAUCUGAUAGAGAUAGUAUGAUAAGAUAAAUAUAUUUUUGGUAUUUUAUAAUAUAGAUGCAAAAGAUGAAGAUGCAAAUAAAAGUAGAUUGGAAGCAAAUAUGAUAAGAGAUAGACCCGGGGGCCAUAGGUUUCACUAGAGGCUUCUCUCAAGAUAGCAUAAGUAGUACGGUGGGUGAACAAAUUACUGUCGACCAAUUGAUAGAAAAGUGAAUAAUUAUGAGAUUAUCUAGACAUGAUCAUGUAUAUAGGCAUCACGUCCGCAACAAGUAGACCGACUCCUGUCUGCAUCUACUACUAUUACUCCACACAUCGACUGACUCCUUCCUGCAUCUACAGUAUUAAGUUCAUAAAGAACAGAGUAACGCAUUAAGCAAGAUGACAUGAUGUAGAGGGAUAAAUUCAUGCAAUAUGAUAUAAACCCCAUCUUUUUAUCCUCGAUGGCAACAAUACAAUACGUGCCUUGCAACCCUUUCUGUCACUGGAUAAGGACACCGCAAGAUUGAACCCAAAGCUAAGCACUUCUCCCAUGGCAAGAAAGAUCAAUCUAAUAGGCCAAACCAAACUGAUAAUUCUAAGAGACUUGCAAAGAUAACUCAAUCAUUCAUAAAAAAAUUCUGAGAAAAUUCAAAUAUUUCUCAUAGAUAAACUUGAUCAUAAGCCCACAAUUCAUCGGAUCUCGACAAACACACCGCAAAAAGAGUUUACAUCGAAUAGAUCUCCACAAGAGAGGGGGAGAACAUUGUAUUGAGAUCCAAAAAGAGAGAAAAAGCCAUCUAGCUAAUAACUAUGGACCCGAAGGUCUGUGGUAAACUACUCACAACUCAUCGGAGGGGCAAUGGUAUUGAUGUAGAAGCCCUCCGUGGUCGAUUCCCCCUCCGGCGGAGCGCCGGCGAAGGCUCCAAGAUGGGAUCUCGCGGAUACAGAAGGUUACGGUGGUGGAAAUUGUGUUUCGUUGGCUCCCUGGAUGUUUUCAAGGUACGUAGGAUUAUAUAGGAGGAAGAAGUACAUCGGUGGCCGCCCGAGGGGCCCAAGAGACAGGGGGGCGUGCCCUAUAGGGGGGCGUCCUACCCUCUCGUGGCCGCCUCGGCUGCUUCUUGACUUGCACUCCAAGUCUUCUGGAUCACGUUCAUUUCAAAAAUCACGGUCCCGAAGGUUUCAUUCCAUUUGGACUCCGUUUGAUAUUCCUUUUUUUUCGAAAUACUGAAAUAGGCAAAAAACAGCAAUACGGGUUGGGCCUCCGGUUAGUAGGUUAGUCCCAAAAAUGAUAUAAAUGUGUAAAAUAAAACCCAUAAACAUCCAAAAGGGGUAAUAUAAUAGCAUGGAACAAUCAAAAAUUACAGAUAUGUUGGAGACAUAUCGAGCAUCCCCAAGCUUAAUUCCUGCUCAUCCCCGAGUAGGUAAAUGAUAAAACCGGAAUUUUUGAUGUAGAAUGCUACCUAGCAUAAUUCUCAAUGUAAUUUUCUUUAUUGUGGCAUGAAUAUUCAGAUCCAAAUGAUACAAAAUAAAAGUUCAUAUUAACAUGAAAAUAGUGAUACUUCAAGCAUACUAAUCAAAGUAAUCAUGUCUUUUUAAAAUAACAUGGCCAAAGAAAGUUAUCCCUACAAAAUCAUAUAGUCUGGCUGUUGCUCUAUCUUCAUCACACAAAGUAUUUAAUCAUGCACAACCCCGAUGACAAGCCAAGCAAUUGUUUCAUACUUUAAUAAUCUCAAACUCUUUCAACUUCCACGCAAUACAUGAGCGUGAGCCAAGGACAUAGCACUAUAUGUGGAAUAGAAUGAUGGUUGUGGAGAACACAAAAAGGAGAAGAUAGUCUCACAUCAACUAGGCAUAUCAGCGGGCUAUGUAGAUGCCCAUUAGUAGAUAUCAAUGUGAGUGAGUAGGGAUUGCCAUGCAACGGAUGCACUAGAGCUAUAAAUAUAUGAAAGCUCAACAAAAGAAACUACGUGGGUGUGCAUCCAACUCGCUUGCUCACGAAGACCUAGGGCAUUUUCAGGAAGCCCAUCAUUGGAAUAUACAAGCCAAGUUCUAUAAUGAAAAAUUCCCACUAGUAUAUGAAAGUGACAACAUAUGAGACUCUCUACUAUGAAGAUCAUGGUGCUACUUUAAAGCACAAGUGUGAAAAAAGAGAUAGUAGCAUUGUCCCUUCUCUCUUUUUCUCUCAUUUUAUUUUAUUUCUUUUUUUAUUAUUUUUUUUCUUUUUUUUCUUUGGCCUUUCUCUCUUUUUUUCUUUUUGGCCUUUCUCUUUUUUUUUGUAAAGUCUGAAGUCUCAUCCCGAUUUGUGGGGGAAUCAUAGUCUUCAUCAUCCUUUCUUCACUAGGACAAUGCUCUAAUAAUGAAGAUCAUUACACUUUUAUGGAUUUACAACUCAAAGCUAGAAUAAGAUAUGACUCUAUAUGAAUGCCUCCGGCGGUGUACCGGGAUAUGCAAUGAAUCAAGAGCGGCAUGUAUGAACAUUAUGAAGGUGGCUUUGCCACAAAUACGAUGUCAACUACAUGAUCAUGCAAAGAGCAAUAUGACAAAAGUAAUGCGUGUCAUAUGAACAGAACGGUGAAAAGUUGCAUGGCAAUAUAUCUCGGAAUGGCUAUGGAAAUGCCAUAAUAGGUAGGUAUGGUGGCUGUUUUGAGGAAGGUAUAUGGUGGGUGUAUGGUAUCGGCGAAAAUUGCGCGACACAAGAGAGGCUAGCAAUGGUGGAAGGGUGAGGUGCGUAUAAUCCAUGGACUCAACAUUAGUCAAAAGAACUCAUGUACUUGUUGAAAAAAUCUAGAAGUCAUCAAAAACCAAAGCACUACGUGCAUGCUCCUAGGGGGAUAGAUUGGUACGAAAAGACCAUCGCUCGUCCCCGACCGCCACUCAUAAGGAAGACAAUCAAUCAAUAAAAUUGUGCUCCAACUUCAUCACAAAGCGGUUCAUCAUACGUGUAUGCUACGGGAAUCACAAACCCCAACACAAGUAUUUUUCAUAAUCACCUCAACUAGCAUGACUCUAAUAUCACUACCUCCAUAUCUCAAAACAAUUAUCAAGCAUCAAAUUGAUCAUAGCAUCCAAUUCGCUUUCUAUGAUAGUUUUUAUUAUACCCAACUUGGAUGCUCAUCAUUCUAGGACCAACUUUGUAACCAUAGCAAAUACCAUGCUGUUCUAAAAGACUCUCAAAAAUAUAUAAGUGAAGCAUGAGAGACUAGCAAUUUCUUGAAAAUUAAGUCACCACCGUGCUCUAAAAGAUAUAAGUGAAGCACUAGAGCAAAAACUAUCAAGCUCAAAAGAUAUAAGUCAAGCACAUAGAGUAUUCUAGCAAAUCCUAAUCAAGUAUGCUGCUCCCAAAAGGUGUGUACAUCAAGGAUGAUUGGGGUAAACUAAAAGGCAAAUAUUAAUAUAAUACACGACGCUCCAAGCAAAACACAUAUCAUGUGGCGAAUAAAAAUAUAGCUCCAAGUAAAGUUACCAAUGAACGAAGACGAAAGAAGAGAUGCCUUCCCGGGGCAUCCCCAAACUUAGCCUUUUGGCUAUCCUUGAAUAUCUUGGGGUGCCAUGGGCAUCCCCAAUCUUAGGAUCUUGCCACUCCUUAUUCCAUAGUCCAUAAAAGCUUUACCCAAAACUUGAAAACUUCACAACACAAAACACAACAGGAAAUCUUAUAAGCUCCGUUAGUGAAAGAAAACAAAACCACCACAUAAGGUAUUGUAAUAAACUCAUUCUUUAUUUAUUUUGGUGUUAAACCUACUGUAUUCCAACUUCUCUAUGGUUUAUAAACUAUUUUACUAGCGAUAGAUGCAUCAAAAUAAGCAAACAACACUCGAAAAACAGAAUCUAUCAAAAACAGAACAGUCUGUAGAAAUCUGUAACUAACGCAAACUUCUAGAACUCUAAAAAUCCUACCAAAAUAGGAAGUCCUGGACAAUUUGUCGAUUGAUCAGCAGCAAAAAUAAUCAACGCCAAAGCACAUUUCUAUGAUUUAAAAAAACUAAAUUCGUGCGUGCAAAGUUUCUGUUUUUCGGCAGAAUCAAAUCAACUAUCAUCAUAGGUUAUCCUAUAGGUUCUACUUGACACAAACACUAAUUAAAAGAUAAAAACACAUCUAAACAGAAGGUAGAUGCAAAAUUUAUUACUAAACAGGAACAAAAACAAAAAACACAAAGAAAAUUGGGUUGCCUCCCAACUAGCGCUAUCGUUUAAUGCCCCUAGUUAGGCAUAAAAGCGAAGAUAGAUCUAAGUAGUGCCAUCUUUGGCACUAAAUUCAUAAGUAGCUCACAUGAUAGACUCAUAAGAUAAUUUUACUUUCUUUCUUGGAAAGUGCUCCAUGCCUUUAUUUAAUGGAAAUUGGAAUCUAAUAUUCCUUCCUUCAUAUCAAUAAUCGCGCCAAUCAUUCUAUGGAAAGGUCUACCAAGAAUAAUAGGGCAAGAAAGAUUGCAAUCUAUAUCAAGAACGAUAAAAUCUACGGGCACCAAAUUUCUAUUAGCAAAAUGAGAACAACAUUGAUCCUUCCCAUUGGCUUUUUAAUGGUGGAAUCCGCAAGGUGCAAAUUUAAAGAGCAAUCAUCAAGAUCAUGGAAACCUAGAAUAUCACAUAAAGUUUUCGGAAUCAUGGAAACACUAGCACCCAAAUCACACAAAGCAAAACACUCAUGAUCUUUAAUUCUAAUCUUUAUAGUAGGUUCCCACUCAUCAUUAAGUUUUCUAGGUAUAGAAACUUCCAAAUUAAGUUUUUUAUCAUAAGAUUGCAUCAAGGCAUCAACGAUAUGUUUGGUAAAAGCUUUAUUUUGACUAUAAGCAUGAGAAGAAUUAACAACGGAUUGCAAUAAGGAAAUACAAUCUUCUAAAGAACAAUUAUCAUAAUCAAAUUCCUUGAAAUCUGUGAUAGUUGGUUCAAUGUUAUUUAAAGUCAUGACCUCUCCAAUCCCACUUUUACCAAAUUUAGCAUCAAUAUCUAAAAACUCUGAAUUCUUGGGACGCCUUCUAAGUAAAGUUGACUCAUCAUCAGUCCCAUAAUUAUCAAGAUUCAUAUUGCAAAACAAAGAUCUAAUAGGAGACGCAUUAAUAACUUUAAGAUCUUCAUCGUUAUUUUCAUGGAAACUAGAAGAACACGCUUUUAUAAAGCAAUCUUUCUUUGCACGCAAUCUAGCGGUUCUUUCCUUGCACUCAUCAAUGGAAAUUCUCAUUGCUUUGAGAGACUCAUUGAUAUCAUGCUUAGGAGAAGAAGAUCUAAGUUUAAGAGAAUCAACAUCAAGCGAAAGUCUAUCAAUGUUCCUAGCCAAAUCAUCAACUUUGAGCAAUUUUUCUUCAAGCAAAGCAUUAAAAUUCUUUUGAGAAAUCAUAAAUUCUUUCACACUAUUCUCAAAAUGAGAGGGCAUCUUAUUAAAAUUACCAUAAGAAUUAUUGUAGGAAUUUCCAUAAUUAUUAGAGGAAUUACUAGGGAACGGUCUAGAAUUAAAGUUUCCUCUAUAAGCAUUGUUCCCAAAACUAUUCCUACCAAUAAAAUUCACAUCUAUAGAUUCAUUAUUAUUCUCAAUCAAAGUAGACAAAGGCAUAUCAUUGGGAUCAAGAGGAGUAUUUCUAGUAGCAAACAAUUUCAUAAGUUCAUCCAUCUUUCCACUCAAAACAUCGAUUUCUUCUAUAGCAUGCACUUUUUUACUACAAGAUCUUUCGGUGUGCCAUUGAGAAUAAUUAGCCAUAAUAUUAUCAAGAAGUUUUGUAGCAUCUCCUAAGGUGAUUUCCAUAAACGUGCGUCCCGCGGCCGAAUCUAAGAGAUUUCUAGAAGCAAAGUUCAAACUGGCAUAAAAUUUUUGUAUGAUCAUCCAUAAAUUCAAACCAUGAGUAGGGCAAUUGCGAAUCAUCAAUUUCAUUCUUUCCCAAGAUUGGGUAACAUGCACAUGAUCAAGUUGUUUAAAAUUCAUAAUAUCGUUCCUAAGAGUGAUAAUCUUAGUGGGAGGAAAAUACUUAGAGAUAAAAACAUCUUUGCACUUGUUCCAAGAAUCAAUACUAUUUUUAGGCAAAGACGAAAACCAAACUUUAGCACGAUCUCUAAGUGAAGACGGAAAUAACUUCAAUUUAACAAUAUCGUUAUUCGUCUUUCUUCUUUUGCAUAUUACACAAAUCAACAAAGUUGUUUAGAUGAGUAGCGGCAUCUUCACUAGGAAGGCCGGCGAAUUGAUCUUUCAUAACAAGAUUCAGCAAAGCAGUAUUGAUUUCACAAGACUCAACAUCAUUAAGAGGAGCAAUCGGAGUACUAAGGAAAUCAUUAUUAUUGGUAUUCGAGAAAUCACACAAUUUGGUAUUAUCUUACGCCAUGGCAACAAGUAAUCCAACGCACAAGCAAACAGAAAAAAGGCAAGCGAAAAGAGAGAGAGGAGAUUGGGAAAGAGAGGGCGAAUAAAACGACAAGGGUGAAGUGGGGGAGAGGAAAACAAGAGGCAAAUGGCAAAUAAUGUAAAUGCGAGGGAGAUGAGUUUGUGAUGGGUACUUGGUAUGUCUUGACUUGAGCGAAGACCUCCCCGGCAACGGCGCCAGAAAUCCUUCUUGCUACGUCUUGAGCUUGUGUUGAUUUUCCUUGAAGAGGAAAGGGUGAUGCAGCAAUAGUAGCGUAAGUAUUUCCCUCAGUUUUUGAGAACCAAGGUAUCAAUCCAGUAGGAGGCUCCUCAAAAGUCCCACGCACUUACACAAACAAACAAAGAACUCACAACCAACGCAAUAAAGGGGUUGUCAAUCCCUUCAUGGCCACUUGCGAAAGUGAGAUAUGAUAGAGAUAGUAUGAUAAGAUAAAUAUAUUUUUGGUAUUUUAUAAUAUAGAUGCAAAAAGUAAAGAUGCAAAUAAAAGUAGAUUGGAAGCAAAUAUGAUAAGAGAUAGACCCGGGGGCCAUAGGUUUCACUAGAGGCUUCUCUCAAGAUAGCAUAAGUAGUACGGUGGGUGAACAAAUUACUGUCGAGCAAUUGAUAGAAAAGCAAAUAAUUAUGAGAUUAUCUAGGCAUAAUCAUGUAUAUAGGCAUCACGUCCGCAACAAGUAGACCGACUCCUGCCUGCAUCUACUACUAUUACUCCACACAUCGACCGACUCUUGCCUGCAUCUAGAGUAUUAAGUUCAUAAAGAAUAGUGUAAUGCAUUAAGCAAGAUGACAUGAUGUAGAGGGAUAAACUCAUGCAAUAUGAUAUAAACCCCAUCUUUUUAUCCUCGAUGGCAACAAUACAAUACGUGCCUUGCAACCCUUUCUGUCACUGGGUAAGGACACCACAAGAUUGAACCCAAACCUAAGCACUUUUCCCAUGGCAAGAAAGAUCAAUCUAGUAGGCCAAACCAAACUGAUAAUUCGAAGAGACUUGCAAAGAUAACUCAAUCAUACAUAAAAGAAUUCAGAGGAGAUUCAAAUAUUUCUCAUAGAUAAACUUGAUCAUAAACCCACAAUUCAUCGGAUCUCGACAAACACACUGCAAAAAGAGUUUACAUCGAAGAGAUCUCCACAAGAGAGGGGGAGAACAUUGUAUUGGGAUCUAAAAAGAGACAAGAAGCUAUCUAGCUAAUAACUAUGGACCCGAAGGUCUGUGGUAAACUACUCACAACUCAUCGGAGGGGCUAUGGUGUUGAUGUAGAAGCCCUCCGUGGUCGAUUCCCCCUCCGGCGGAGCACCGGCGAAGGCUCCAAGAUGGGAUCUCACGGAUACAGAAGGUUACGAUGGUGGAAAUUGUGUUUCGUUGGCUCCUUGGAUGUUUUUCGGGUACGUAGGCUUAUAUAGGAGGAAGAAGUACGUCGGUGGCCGCCCGAGGGGCCCACGAGACAGGGGGCGCGCCCUAUCGGGGGGGGGGGGGGGCCCUACCCUCUCGUGGCCGCCUCGGCUGCUUCUUGACUUGCACUCCAAGUCCUCUAGAUCAUGUUCAUUCCAAAAAUCACGCUCCCGAAGGUUUCAUUCCAUUUGGACUCCGCUUGCUAUUCCUUUUCUUCAAAAUACUGAAAUAGGCAAAAAAAACAGCAAUACGGGCUGGGCCUCCGGUUAGUAGGUUAGUCCCAAAAAUGAUAUAAAUGUGUAAAAUAAAGCCCAUAAACAUCCAAAAGGGGUAAUAUAAUAGCAUGGAACAAUCAAAAAUUAUAGAUACGUUGGAGACGUAUCAUUCCUCUUUCACCAUUCCCAUUAUGGCUCUGUCGUGCAACACCUCAAGUGUGAACCUAGAGGGUGGUUCCUCUUACGUUCACCUUGAUGAUUACAUCGAGUGGAAUUCGCCGAGGGUGAUUCCUUGGGUUUUCCCCUUGAUGUUUGGACACACGGUUACCUGAUCUGUACUUGAGACCACUGUUGAAGUCGGGUCGGCCCUGAGGGGUACCUGCGUGUUGAUGUGAAAGUCGGGCGGGCCCGUAGAGCACCCGCGAGUUUUCUACAUGGCACGGCCGGGCAUUCUGGGCCCUUGCCGUAAGUCCACGAGAUGGGGCGACGGGGCCACAUUAUUGUGAGUCUCUGCUCAUCUUCGCGAGCCCCCAAUGCACUAACAGGUUUCGGUAUUUGUUCUUAGUUGGCCUUUGGCCUUUACGCACUAACCACCAUGCGAGAAUAGUUAUGGGCCUCGAUGUCACAGUAUCAGCCGAAGCUUUGUCAGAAGUCCAGUUCAGCACUCCUAAUGAUAAUUCUUUAGUGUAGUUAUUUGGUCGCGGUCAACGAGGGUGGUUCCUCUUUCACCAUUCCCGUCACGGCUCUGUCGUGCAACACCUCAAGUGUGAACCUCGAGGGUGGUUCCUCUUACGCUCACCUUGAUGAUUACAUCGAGUGGAAUCCACCGAGGGUGAUUCCUUGGGUUUUCCCCUUGAUGUUUGGACACACGGUUACCUGAUCUUUAAUUGAGACCAUUGUUGAAGUCGGGUCGGCCCUGAGGAGUACCCGCGAGUUGAUGUGAAAGUCGAGUGGGCCCAUAGAGCACCCGCGAGUUUUCUACGUGGCACGGUCGGGCAUUCUGGGCCCUUGCUGUAAGUCCACGAGACGGGGCGGCGGGGUCACAUUAUCGUGAGUCUCUGCUCGUCUUCACGAGCCCCCAAUGCACUAACAGGUUUGGGUAUUUGUUCUGAGUUGGCCUUGGGCCUUUACGCACUAACCACCACGGGAGAACAGUUAUGGGCCUCGACGUCGCAGUAUCAGCCGAAGCUUUUUCAGAAGUCCAGUUCAGAAGUGCGGCAUGGUUGGAUCGUGCUGGCCACCCGAGGCAGUGCUGGGUAUCCACCCUACUCGCAAGGACCUGGAGUGUUGCAGGCGAUGGGCCCAAGACCCCGGAGUGCUUAGUAUGUAGACCGGCGGGGACCUCUCUACUGAGCCUAGGUAGGGUUGCGACGUGUUGAUCUUCCGAGGCCUGGCAUUGACCCCAGAAAGGUGUGUCCGGCCAGAGUGAUCGAGCGUGUUGGGUAACGUGGUGCACCCCUGCAGGGAAGAUAUAUAUUCGAAUACCGUGUCUGCGGUAAUGGACGUUCAGACUUGUAUCCUGAUCUUAUACAACUACAAAUGGAUACUUGAGAUAUGUGUCUCCGAGAUUGCUUUCCCGCAGGAGUCGUGGAAGGAUGUCUGGGCGUUGUUGUUACAACAUGCUUAUUAAUUAUAAACUGCUAUUAUUUACUCUUCUACAUGCUGCAAGAUGCUCGGAGCUGCUUGAAGAUGCUAGUCUUCGAUAGGCUAGGCCUUCCCCCUCUAUUCUGGCAUUCUGUAGUUCAGUCCAUAGAUACAAACCUUCCAUUUGAUACCAGUGCAUACUUAGUAUAGAUCUUAUGCUUGCGAGUACUUUGGAUGAGCACUCAUGGUUGCUUUGCUACCCCUUUUCCCCCUUCUUUCUUCUUUCCGGCUGAUGCAACCAGAUGGUAGAUCCCGGGAGCCAGAUGCCACCGCUGACGGAUACUGCUACGUGGAGACCGCCGAUGACCAGGAGUAGUUAGGAGGUCCCAGGCAGGAGGCCUUGCCUCUUCGAUCGUUGUUGCUUUUGUGCUAGCCUUCUUAAGGCAUCCUUGUUUAACUUAUGUCUGUACUCAGAUAUUGUUGCUUCCACUGACUCUUAUGUAUCGAGCUAUGUAUUCGAGCCCUCGAGGCCCCUGGCUUGUAAUAUAAAGCUUGUAUUCUUUUAUUUGUGUUUAGAGCUGUGUUGUGAUAUCUUCCCGUGAGUCCCUGAUCUUGAUCGUACACGUUUGCGUGUAUGUUUAUUGUACGGUC
RNAcentral lists this long non-coding RNA (12621 nucleotides) under Triticum aestivum (bread wheat). RNAcentral's name for it is "long non-coding RNA (TAES_LNC016119)". Lineage: Eukaryota; Viridiplantae; Streptophyta; Magnoliopsida; Poales; Poaceae. The record is from RNAcentral.